RNAcentral lists this transfer RNA (73 nucleotides) under Caudoviricetes sp. Its description in RNAcentral is "tRNA-Ile". It matches the Rfam family "tRNA". Rfam says of the family: Transfer RNA (tRNA) molecules are approximately 80 nucleotides in length. Their secondary structure includes four short double-helical elements and three loops (D, anti-codon, and T loops). The record is from RNAcentral. Lineage: Duplodnaviria; Heunggongvirae; Uroviricota; Caudoviricetes.
GCUCCGAUAGGCUAUGUGGUUAAACCAGGGAGCUUAUAUCUCUCAAUGCACGGUUCGAGUCCGUGUCGGAGUA